UGUAUUGACAUAUUUAUUAUCCCUUUCUUUCUCUACAUUAAUACACAAUCACCGACCGUCCCUAGAGCAAGUGGCAAAGUGCUUGAUGAUUGGUACCCGAGGUUCUAAAUUCGAAUCCUAGUUGAUUCAUAUUUUCAGCUAAGAUUAUUUCUAAAUGAAAUAAACGAAGCGGGUAGUAUGCUACGAACCUAUCUCUCUCAAAAAAAAAGAAAAAAAGAAAAAAAAAA
Molecule: long non-coding RNA, 227 nt
Filed under: Ananas comosus (pineapple)
Lineage: Eukaryota; Viridiplantae; Streptophyta; Magnoliopsida; Poales; Bromeliaceae
Description: long non-coding RNA (ACOM_LNC004754)
Source: RNAcentral